AGGCGGGUAGCUCAGUGGUAGAGCAUCGGCCCGAUAAGCCGGUAGCCAUAGGUUCAAAUCCUAUUCCGCCUA
Molecule: transfer RNA, 72 nt
Filed under: Lentisphaerota bacterium
Lineage: Bacteria; Pseudomonadati; Lentisphaerota
Description: Lentisphaerae bacterium (invertebrate metagenome) tRNA-Ile
Rfam family: tRNA
About the family: Transfer RNA (tRNA) molecules are approximately 80 nucleotides in length.
Source: RNAcentral